UUGAUCUUCCCGUGCAGAAGCGGGAAUUUCUCCAUAAGACGAGAAGACCCUGUGGAGCUUUAGACACCAAAACAGAUCACGUCAAAACCCCCUUAUAAAGGGCCAAACAGCCGAACCCUGUUUCAAUGUCUUCGGUUGGGGCGACCACGGUGGAACCACAAAACCCCCGCGUGGAAUAAGAGCACCCUCUGCUCUCACACUCAAGAGCCCCCGCUCUAAUAUACAGAACUUCUGACCAACAAGAUCCGGCAACGCCGAUCAACGAACCAAGUUACCCCAGGGAUAACAGCGCAAUCCUCUUUCAGAGCCCAUAUCGACAAGAGGGUUUACGACCUCGAUGUUGGAUCAGGACAUCCUAAUGGUGCAGCCGCUAUUAAGGGUUCGUUUGUUCAACGAUGAAAGUCG
Molecule: ribosomal RNA, 405 nt
Filed under: Pennahia argentata (silver croaker)
Lineage: Eukaryota; Metazoa; Chordata; Actinopteri; Sciaenidae
Description: partial 16S ribosomal RNA
Rfam family: Bacterial large subunit ribosomal RNA
Source: RNAcentral